AUGGAGGGCUCGACAUCUGCCUCUGGAGCGGCGAUGAGCGACAUGGAAGCAAUGAUGAAAGAGCUUGGGUUGAAGGAGGAUGACUUGGUGGACAUAGUUGUAGAGGACGGUGACAUACCGGAGGAAGCUGCUCGUUGGAUGGCAAUUGCUCGUGUGCACACCGAUAGAUCAUAUAGUCAGUAUUGGUUUUUCUGCAACAUGCGAGUUGCAUGGGAUCUUGCUCAGGAAGUUAAAUUUCGUCCUUUGAAGGAUAACCUUUACACCUUGCAGUUCUCUUGCCUCGGCGAUUGGGAACAAGUAAUGGAAGACGGGCCUUGGACCUUCAAAGGCAAAGCGGUCGUCAUCGAGCCAUAUGAUGGAAUCACCAGACCGUCAUCGAUUAGCUUGAACAAAGUUGAGAUGUGGAUUCAGAUCCAUGACCUCCCGGAACUAUUUUUUGGUCUGAUCAAAUCCCUUGCUGGCACGGUCGGAGACUUCAUCUAUGCUGAACCCAAAUCCCAAGAUUUCGAGGGCAAUUUUUUCAGGGUGCGGGUCAAGGUGGAUGUCACAAAACCUCUGAGGAAUGUUGUGUCCCUGGUGGUAAAGAAUAAGAGGGAGAUCUUCGGGGUUAAAUAUGAGCGACUACCCGAUUGGUGUGUCGUUUGUGGUAUGCUAGGUCACUUGUAUAAAGAAUGUGGUAACGGGAUUCAUCCUCCGUCUGCACUAGUUUUCUUCGAGCUGAUUGGUUUAAGGGGCCGGGGCGAGGACCUGGAGCCGAUGGUGCAUCAGGUGGUGGUAGAGGCAGAGGCAGAGCCGGCCGUGGAGCAGGCAGGGGUGCAAAUCAAAGGGGUGCAGACCAGCAUGAAAGCACAGAAUACAUGGGACGUGUUGAUCCCAUUCUUGACGAUGAUAUAG
RNAcentral lists this ribosomal RNA (894 nucleotides) under Triticum aestivum (bread wheat). Its description in RNAcentral is "partial small subunit ribosomal RNA". Lineage: Eukaryota; Viridiplantae; Streptophyta; Magnoliopsida; Poales; Poaceae. The record is from RNAcentral.